GAUGAACGCUGGCGGCGUGCCUAAUACAUGCAAGUCGAGCGAACAGACGAGGAGCUUGCUCCUCUGACGUUGGCGGCGGACGGGUGAGUAACACGUGGAUAACCUACCUAUAAGACUGGGAUAACUUCGGGAAACCGGAGCUAAUACCGGAUAAUAUAUUGAACCGCAUGGUUCAAUAGUGAAAGACGGUUUUGCUGUCACUUAUAGAUGGAUCCGCGCCGCAUUAGCUAGUUGGUAAGGUAACGGCUUACCAAGGCAACGAUGCGUAGCCGAUCUGAGAGGGUGAUCGGCCACACUGGAACUGAGACACGGUCCAGACUCCUACGGGAGGCAGCAGUAGGGAAUCUUCCGCAAUGGGCGAAAGCUUGACGGAGCAACGCCGCGUGAGUGAUGAAGGUCUUCGGAUCGUAAAACUCUGUUAUUAGGGAAGAACAUAUGUGUAAGUAACUGUGCACAUCUUGACGGUACCUAAUCAGAAAGCCACGGCUAACUACGUG
RNAcentral lists this ribosomal RNA (497 nucleotides) under uncultured bacterium. RNAcentral's name for it is "partial 16S ribosomal RNA". It matches the Rfam family "Bacterial small subunit ribosomal RNA", at positions 28 to 507 of the family's 1533-position model. The record is from RNAcentral.